Molecule: long non-coding RNA, 240 nt
Organism: Sander lucioperca (pikeperch)
Lineage: Eukaryota; Metazoa; Chordata; Actinopteri; Perciformes; Percidae
Exons: 5
Source: RefSeq, a predicted model, not a curated record
AUAUUGUAUCGUUGUUGGUGAGAGGAAUCCAUCUGAUUGGCUAUUCAGCUUAAGCGUAUUAGUGCACGAGAAGAGAAAUGGUAGUGAGGAAACCAAAUGACUGCCGAGAGGGCACACACAAAAGGCUCUUCUAAUUUUUCAUCUUUAUCUUCAUCUCAUCUGAUUAUUCCAAUACACAUAGGGCUGUCAAAACUGGCCAAAAAUGAUGUUUGAAUGUUUCUUUUUUAUUUUAAACUCCAU